This is a long non-coding RNA of Pollicipes pollicipes, 307 nucleotides long. RefSeq lists it as uncharacterized. The record is from RefSeq and is a predicted model, not a curated record. Lineage: Eukaryota; Metazoa; Arthropoda; Thecostraca; Pollicipedomorpha; Pollicipedidae. The transcript is spliced from 3 exons.
AAAUGCCCAAAAAGCAACACACCUUUGUGAUCGUCCUCCUUCGCCACCAUAUGACUUUCCAGGAUUCAAAAGCCAGGAAAUCUUUAAACCAUAUGAAGUGCUGACUGGGAGCUACCAGUCACUGCCGCAUGGUGGAGAUGCUGAUACUAGGGAUACUACGGAUACUACCCAGUUCAUGUGUGGUUUCGCAAUGCCAACAAUCCACAGGCCAUCAGUUCUAGGUCCUGAUGUCACACCUGAUGUCAAGCCAGAUCUGCUGACAUUGUCACCUUCACAAGUGGAUGUCUUGAGUGCUGUCGGUGGCUCG